This 465-nucleotide ribosomal RNA is filed under the name uncultured bacterium. RNAcentral's name for it is "partial 16S ribosomal RNA". It matches the Rfam family "Bacterial small subunit ribosomal RNA", at positions 28 to 507 of the family's 1533-position model. The record is from RNAcentral.
GACGAACGCUGGCGGCGUGCUUAACACAUGCAAGUCGAACGGAAAGGCCCCUUUGGGGGUACUCGAGUGGCGCACGGGUGAGUAACACGUGAGUAACCUGCCCUUGACUUCGGGAUAACUUCAGGAAACUGGGGCUAAUACCGGAUAGGAAUCCUUUCUGCAUGGUGGGGGUUGGAAAGCUUCGGCGGUUUUUGAUGGACUCGCGGCUUAUCAGCUUGUUGGUGGGGUAGUGGCUUACCAAGGCUUUGACGGGUAGCCGGCCUGGGAGGGCGACCGGCCACAUUGGGACUGAGAUAAGGCCCAGACUCCUACGGGAGGGAGAAGUGGGGAAUAUUGCACAAUGGGCGGAAGCCUGAUGCAGCAACGCCGCGGGCGGGAUGACGGCCUUCGGGUUGUAAAACGCUUUCAGCAGGGGCGAAGCUUGUGGUGACGGUACCUGAAGAAGAAGCACCGGCUAACUACGUG